AAACAAUUAUCAUUUUGGAAACGCGCCCUAGGUCUAACUCAUAUUUUUAUUAGAAAAAUAUAGGGUAAAAGAUAAAAUAAUCCCUGAAAAAUAAUUAAAAUGGCCUUAUUACACCCCAAAACCAAAUAAUAAUAUUAAUAAGAUAAAAUUUAUAAAGAAAUAAGUCGGCUACUUAUUGCAAUUAAAAGAAACAGAAACAGUAGUGUGGCCAUCUCCAAGUCCCUCGCAGCUCCAAACCAUCUAAGCUUAGGGAUUACCUGCAUAGUUAGAAACGGGGUGAGUUUACGAAAACUCAGUGUGUAAUCCCAAUAACAAACAAAUAGUAAAUAACACGGUAUCAGUACAAUCUGGGCCAAAGCCCUAUUUAGUCUUGACAUAUACUGGGCCGAAGCUUUUCCAUAAAUCAUAUCACUGGGCCGAAGCCUUUUCAUAAAUCAUAUCACUGGGCUGAAGCCUUUACUGUAAACAGUAUGGCCCUUAGGCCCAUUUCAAUAUCACAUGUAAUGUCAAUCGAUGUAUGCAAGCCCAUUUCAAUAUCACAUGUAAUGUCAAUGAAUGUAUGCAAGCCCAUUUGGGGAGACUACUCGACCCACCAUCCGCUACUCUCCACCCGUACCAACCAAGCUCUCCAUGUGGGGAAUAACUCAACCCACCCAACCAAACUCUCCACUGGCAGCAUAGCUGCUUUAUCAUAUAACCGGAGGCCUAGCCUCUUUUAAUAACUGGGGCAAAGCUCUUUUUGAUAAACUGGGGCAAAGCCCUUUUCGGUAAACUGGGGCAUAGCCCUUUUAGCACUUCCUCCAUUUAUAAAACCCAACCCAUGCAACAUGUCAUGUAUGUAGAAUGUCAUGCCCAUAUUUGAAUCAAACAAUCACAGUCAAGUCAUUCAUAUCACCAACAUAUAUUCACAAUCAAAUCCGUCAACCACACAGUCCAAGUCAGUCACUUGCCCAUAAGGGCAAAAUAGUCAUUUAACACCCUAAGGGCAAAAUGGUAAUUUUACCCCACAAGGGUAUCUCGGUAAUUCUACCCUACAGGGGUAUUUUGGUAUUUUUACCUUACAAGGGUAUUUCGGUAAUUCUACCCUACAGGGGUAUUUCAGUAAUUCUACCCUACAGGGGUAUUUCAGUAAUUCUACCCUACAGGGUUAUUUUAGUAAUUCUACCCUACAGGGGUAUUUGGUAAUUCGACCUUACAGGGGUAUUUCGGUAAUUCUAUCAUACAGGGGUAUUUCGAUAUUUUACAAAUCGAGAGUAUUUCGAUAAUUUCAUAAAUCAGGGGUAUUUUGGUAAUUUUACAAGCCAGGGGUAUUUUGGUAAUUUUACAAACUAGGGGUAUUUUAGUAAUUUUACAAACCAGGGGUAUUUUGGUAAUUUUACUAAUCCAGGAUAUUUUGGUAAUUUUGUAAACUAAGGGUAUUUUAGUAAUUCUGUAAAUCGAGGGUAAAACGGUAGUUCUGUAAAUCGAGGGUAAAACAGUAAUUUUGUAAAUUGAGAGUAACACGGUAAUUCUAUAAAUCGAGGGUAAAAUGGUAAUUCUAUAAAUCAAGGGUAAAACGGUAAUUCUAUAAAUUGAGAGUAAAAUGGUAAUUUUAUAAAUCGAGGGUAAAACGGUAAUUCUAUAAAUCGAGGGUAAAAUGGUACUUCUAUAAAUCAAGGGUAAAAUGGUAAUUCUAUAAAUCGAUGGUAAAAUGGUAAUUCUGUAAAUCGAGGGUAAAAUGGUAAUUCUAUAAAUCAAAGGUAAAAUGGUAAUUCUAUAAAUCGAUGGUAAAACGGUAAUUCUGUAAAUCAAUGGUAAAACGGUAAUUUUACAAAUUGAGGGCAUUUCAGUAAUUGGUAAACUAAAGUAUUCUAAACAGGGAUAACAAUACAAAUGGCCCUAAAGUGCAUUCUCGGCCCAAAUGGGCCCACACACUCGUGUGGUCCUUUUAGCCCAAAUCUAGCCACAAAUAUGAGAUUCACCUAGCCUAGUCCAAUAUUUACUACACAAUCAAACAACUUAUCCAAUUGGGCCUGUAGGCCCAUUGGGCCCACAUAGCCCCUUUUGGCCCAUCGUGGUCCGAAGUAGCCAUCCUAUAGCUAGAGUAGUGAGAAAUACACACCUGAUUGGAGACUGGAGUUAAUCCAUGCUCUGAGCACUCUUAGUCGACGCCCAACCCAAACGAGCACGCCAUCAAGCGAAAGGGAUCAGCCAAGAAAGGUACCUCUACU
Molecule: long non-coding RNA, 2210 nt
Filed under: Gossypium barbadense (sea-island cotton)
Lineage: Eukaryota; Viridiplantae; Streptophyta; Magnoliopsida; Malvales; Malvaceae
Description: long non-coding RNA (GBAR_LNC012399)
Source: RNAcentral